UUCAGUCUGUCAAAGUAAGUUGUAUCAAAUAGGAAGUGUUUAAAAAAAAAAAAAAUCCUAUGUUUGCACACUGUAGGAGACCUCUACCUAGCAACUCAGUUUGUGUAUAAUAUGUAGAAAUACCACCUGUCCCAUCUGUCCCAUCAGUAAGGACAGAGCACAGCCAGUAGCUGUACAAAAACCACAGGGGAGCUUUACAGCAGUGCGAGUGGAGCUGGUGCGUGGUUACAGAGGAUGCCUCUCACUCUGAACUGAAUGGCCUAAAAGCUUCUGGGAAAGAAAGUAGUCUCAAAUAACCAGCUCCUAGCAAUUUGUGCCAUAAAUGGAGGGGAGACACUCUGAUAGUAAAACUUGUUUAUUUACAGUGUUAUGUUUUACAGGAAAAUCCAUUUAAAAACUCACUGCUUCUUUUUCUUCACAGUUGCAGCAUUUUGAAGAUGUUAAGACAGAUCUGAGGGUUUUAAAACGUACCUGAUUCCAGCCUUCCUGGCUGGCCUGGAUCUGCAUGGUGAGACCAUCUUGUUGGUGGUUGUGGUUUUUUCUCCUUUUUUUUCACCUCAGCCCUUUGAGCUUCAAGUAAGGCAUUUAUUUAUUUUAUUUUAUUUUUUCUUAAUGAGGUUUGAACAAAACAAAAGAUGAUCAAUUACUGUGGAGUUGGUUGCCAUAAUGUACUUUAAGGUUUAGUAUGUUUAUGUUAUCCACAUUGGUGGUUAAAUGCCUUGCCUUCAAAAGGUUAAGAGACUCCAUACAGCCUAACAUCCAUGCUUGGACAUGCAGCCUCUUGUCAUGGGACAAGACUUCCUGCCUUUGUGCCUACUGUCUCCAAGACCCCCUCCAGUGAAAGAUCAGCGCAAGAGGAAAACUGGCUUGAGAGGUGGAGGAAGAUCAGAGGAGCAGGACUUGGUGGAACAACUUUCUCUCCAUGAAUCCGUUUGAAGCAGCAAAGUAGUUCUUAUGGAAUCCGUUCUUGACUUCUGCUGUGACAGGGGCUUCCUUUGCUGCUGUUCUUGAAGGUGCUUUCCGGAGAGAGAGAGUCUGCUUACCUUAAUGUAAAAGUUAACGAAGAGGAUGACCAGUGUGGCCAUGUAGGAAGACUGGAACAUGAGGCAGCCAAAGGGAAACCCACACGGCUUCACAGCUGCACUGAGCGUGUGCACAAUGGUGUCUAGAGAAAUUGUUAAAACCAGUUUUCUUACUGAUUGUUUCCCAUCUUGACCUUGGUACCUCGAAAGGAUGAACAGACAGAACACGGAGGAGCUGAGGCAGUUGAAAACUAAAUCUACCUCCUUAUGUGUGUGCUGAAAUGACCCAGUGGGGACCCAUACCUGUUCUCAGCUUUGCUCCGGUCUACCCUAAUUAGCACUGGAUUGAUUCAGUGUCUGGUUGGCUUUUCACAGCAAGCGUCUUGCAGUCCUGCUCGGUGCUACACCCGCUCAGCCCAUAUCUGGGAAUGAGGACCCAGGCGGAGAAAUACCUGCCUUACAGCCUCUGUCAGGACUCAGAUCAGGUUGAAGCACCAUCAGUGUCAAAAAUACAGUUUUCUGAUGUAUUAACUUGAAGAUCUGAACAACAGAAUGUUGAUGAUAAUAUAUCUCACAAUGGCUUAUUGAGUCAAGUGCAAGAUAAUUUCAGAUACUAUUUGAAUGGAAGCUUACAAAAUCUCUACCACUAAGGAAGGAAUAACUGCACUGAAAACAAAAGGUUCUCAAUAUUGCCUUUCACUGAAAUGGAAAGCUACUGGUAUUUCUCAGAGCAAUAAAACUAAAUGCUACUCUUUCUAUAUCUAUGCACAUAUUUCCUAAUUUUGAGCCAAUAUCCAAAUGCGUUUCUGCUCUCAGAAAUCACUAGCUGUGUCUUAGCUUUCAAGGGGAGUGUGAGCAUCCUGUGAUGCUUUUGACACAGCAGAAAAAUAAAAAUCUUAGCCUAGGUAACUAUAGCCUUCUGCAAGAAAAGAGAAGUUUGGAAAUUAAACAGAAUACCACAAAACCAGAAAAAAGUUAUAUACUUUGACUUCCAUGGUUUUUGGCAUGGAUAGA
This is a long non-coding RNA of Numida meleagris (helmeted guineafowl), 2036 nucleotides long. RefSeq lists it as uncharacterized. The transcript has 8 exons. The record is from RefSeq and is a predicted model, not a curated record. Lineage: Eukaryota; Metazoa; Chordata; Aves; Galliformes; Numididae.